GACGAACGCUGGCGGCGUGCUUAACACAUGCAAGUCGAACGGAAAGGCCCUGCUUUUGUGGGGUGCUCGGGUGGCGAACGGGUGAGUAACACGUGAGUAACCUGCCCUUGACUUUGGGAUAACUUCAGGAAACUGGGGCUAAUACCGGAUAGGAGCUCCUGCUGCAUGGUGGGGGUUGGAAAGUUUCGGCGGUUGGGGAUGGACUCGCGGCUUAUCAGCUUGUUGGUGGGGUAGUGGCUUACCAAGGCUUUGACGGGUAGCCGGCCUGAGAGGGUGACCGGCCACAUUGGGACUGAGAUACGGACCAGACUCCUACGGGAGGCAGCAGUGGGGAAUAUUGCACAAUGGGCGGAAGCCUGAUGCAGCAACGCCGCGUGCGGGAUGACGGCCUUCGGGUUGUAAACCGCUUUCGCCUGUGACGAAGCGUGAGUGACGGUAAUGGGUAAAGAAGCACCGGCUAACUACGUG
Molecule: ribosomal RNA, 468 nt
Filed under: uncultured bacterium
Lineage: Bacteria
Description: partial 16S ribosomal RNA
Rfam family: Bacterial small subunit ribosomal RNA
Source: RNAcentral